This 252-nucleotide ribosomal RNA is filed under the name uncultured bacterium. RNAcentral's name for it is "partial 16S ribosomal RNA". It matches the Rfam family "Bacterial small subunit ribosomal RNA", at positions 525 to 776 of the family's 1533-position model. The record is from RNAcentral.
ACGGAGGGUGCAAGCGUUAAUCGGAAUUACUGGGCGUAAAGCGCGCGUAGGCGGUUAUCUAAGCUAGAUGUGAAAGCCCAGGGCUCAACCUUGGAAUUGCAUUUAGAACUGGGUGACUAGAGUACAGCAGAGGAGUGUGGAAUUUCAGGUGUAGCGGUGAAAUGCGUAGAUAUCUGAAGGAACAUCAGUGGCGAAGGCGACACUCUGGGUUGAUACUGACGCUGAGGUGCGAAAGCGUGGGGAGCAAACAGG